GCGUCAGACAUCCUCCCUGUUACCGCUGAGACGUUGGUUUCAUCGCUACGGUGACAUUGCUACAGCCGUAUCGCCAUGGCACCCAGGGCAACUGAGUGGAUGGAUAUCCACAGAGAAAGGACUAGGAGGAUGCUCGUCAGAGGAUGUCGUACCAAAAGUUCCUCCAUGUAGAGAUGUCGGCUUACAUUAAAGUAUAUGCAGUGAA
This is a long non-coding RNA of Coregonus clupeaformis (lake whitefish), 205 nucleotides long. RefSeq lists it as uncharacterized. The record is from RefSeq and is a predicted model, not a curated record. NCBI's taxonomy places the organism in Eukaryota, Metazoa, Chordata, Actinopteri, Salmoniformes, Salmonidae. The transcript has 2 exons.